UACGAAGGGGGCUAGCGUUGCUCGGAAUUACUGGGCGUAAAGCGUGCGCAGGCGGUGAUGUAAGACAGGUGUGAAAUCCCCAGGCUUAACCUGGGAACUGCAUCCGAUACUGGAUGGCUUGAAUCCGGGAGAGGGAUGCAGAAUUCCAGGUGUAGCGGUGAAAUGCGUAGAUAUCUGGAGGAAUACCGGUGGCGAAGGCGGCAUCCUGGACCGGCAUUGACGCUGAUGAGCGAAAGCUAGGGGAGCAAACGGG
Molecule: ribosomal RNA, 253 nt
Filed under: uncultured bacterium
Lineage: Bacteria
Description: partial 16S ribosomal RNA
Rfam family: Bacterial small subunit ribosomal RNA
Source: RNAcentral